This is a long non-coding RNA of Xiphophorus couchianus (Monterrey platyfish), 2201 nucleotides long. RefSeq lists it as uncharacterized. NCBI's taxonomy places the organism in Eukaryota, Metazoa, Chordata, Actinopteri, Cyprinodontiformes, Poeciliidae. The transcript is spliced from 2 exons. The record is from RefSeq and is a predicted model, not a curated record.
UGAAAAAAAAGAGGAAGUAAGUUUCUGCAGCCUGCAGAUUUAUAAGAAUAGUUGAGAUUAUUUCUUAUUUCAAAGCAUGACAGUUUUAAAGAAUGAAAGUCUAAACAUUUUGAAUAAGAUUCAAAGUAAAGGGGGACAAUGACAGACUUAAACUUAUUAAAAGUAACUUUAUGAAUAGACAAAUAGGUGGAGAUGGAUGCGAGUGAUUGGCACACACAGCCCCUUCUCAUCAGUACUUUCAAAUAACACAAACACACACCUGAAACCCGAGGCGUGCAAUACGUUUCUCCUGUUAGUGCAUUUUUAAAUGGAAAUAUGUGUGGCCAUGUCUGAACUUGUCUCCUGCAUUGACAGGUUGUUAUUCAGGACCUAUGUGUUUAUUUCCUUUCUUAAGUCAGAAUGCAAGUUAUAGCAGGUACGAAAUGUUAAACAGUGAAAGUCAUGCUGUCACAUCUCAAACUCUAAAGGUUGUCGUUAUGCGAUGACUCCGGUUACUGCUCUCUGAUCAUCUCAGGACUAAUCAGACUUAAUUAACACAGGUUCUUGGCCCUGCUCUAUAAUCAGACUCAAACUCAUGGAAAAUCUGAGAGAAUUAAUUAGUUUUAACAACGAGUGUUUACCAGCUUAAACUGAGGAGUAUUAACAGAUACUACAAGUAUUACAAGUACGUACUCUGACUGAUAAACUGCAAUCUAAGCAGAAGACAAGAAAAUAGUUUAGCAGUAAAACAAAACUGAACUAGCCUGGCCCAUCGCCUUCUUGUGCUGUUCAGCUGGAUUAAAACCUCACUUCACAGAGAGUCUUUAAUUUCUCCCAUUUACUUUGAUUCCCCUGGUAGAAUUUCAAUCAGGCCAACAGAAGGAGAUGUUGUGAAGAAUAACACUGAUUUUCUGCACCAUUUUAGAUUGUAGCCUGUUGGUAGUUUUAGCAAAGGCAGCAGAGGAAGUGAGCAAAGCCGUUGAGUCCAUGUUGGCCACACUUCCAGAUAUUGAAGUAACAUUAACAGCCGCCUCAUUCAGCUCAGUACUUCUCUCUCCUCAGUGGAGGAUGGCUGUUCACAGCGCACGCUGUUUCAGGCAUCCGCUGUUGAUUCAAGGAUGUCAAUGACUGUAGAAGAUGGACUGGUGACCCGUGGACAGCGUCUCAUAUGAAGGAAGCCAAGGCAACUCUUCAUCCCUCCUCCUCUCAUCGCAACAUGAUUUCUGCUUGUUCUGUUAUAUGGAGCUUUGCAGGGUUGAACUGCUGUUUCUUUUCAUAUUCAGUUUCUGUCAUUUUACAUUUGUUUUACAAUAAAUCAUUGCAUACAAUAUAAAAGAUUGUCUCUUGUGGCUGCUUGAGGUCUGAUGAGGUUGGAUCUUUCAUGUUGCAAUCUGGUUGCCCACAGACAGGUUGUAACAAUGUGCUAUGAAGAAAAUACAGCAUGUUUUUUUCUAUGUUAAAAAUACUGACAUUUUUAAACUGAAUAACUUUAAAAGAUACCCGAUUAGCAGCAGGUAGUGAUUUUUAUUAAAAUAUCAAAAUAGUGUAUAUUUGCAGUAUUAAUUUAAGAGAUGUUUUGUAUUCUCCUUAUUGACAUGUUUAGUAGCAUGUCUUCCUGUUUUUCAGUUAGCUCUAAUCCAUAAACAUUAAAGAAACGCUACAGGUCUGUAGCAUUUCAUAGUCCUGAUGUCUUAACCUCAAGUUUAUUCAACGAUUUAUUUUAUAGGGCAUUGACCAAGAAGUGAGAAAAAUCACGUUUGGUUUUAUCAUGAGUUAGUGGUUCAUUGAAAUAUAAGGUGUUUUCAUGUCUCUUGAUUAGAAAAGACAAUUUGUCUACAUACAACCAGAAAAACUUUAUCUAAACACCUUUAGUUCUCUCCUCUAAUCCUACAAGCAUAACUUUAAAUUGGGUCUUCAUUCGCAAAUCAACAUCUGAAGGAGCUGUGAUGUUUUUACCUGGGAACUUGUCUUGAAACCUAAGAAGUGAUCUCAAUUGAAAGUGAAGAUGUGCGGGACAUUUGUCCCAUAACCGUUGGUGUUUAUGUGACAGAACUUGUCCUCUGCAUUGACGAGGUGUGGUUCAAGACCUACACGUUCAUUUACUUUACUUUCUUCUCCUCAGUGUGCAAGUUGUAGCAGGUAGGAGUGUUUAAAGUGUGGGAUCCGAGGGAAAGCAUGUUCUAUGCAGAGUAUAGAAAAGCUACGGCCGAUAGACAUGUGGU